RNAcentral lists this ribosomal RNA (808 nucleotides) under uncultured bacterium. Its description in RNAcentral is "bacterial SSU rRNA". It matches the Rfam family "Bacterial small subunit ribosomal RNA", at positions 8 to 825 of the family's 1533-position model. The record is from RNAcentral.
AGAGUUUGAUCCUGGCUCAGGACGAACGCUGGCGGCGUGCUUAAUACAUGCAAGUCGAACGAGGUCCAUCCCGUGGCAACACGGGUGAAGACCGAGUGGCGAACGGGUGCGUAACACGUGAGGAACCUGCCCCGGACUCUGGAAUAACAGUGGGAAACCAUUGCUAAUACCGGAUGUCUCCACCAUCUCGCAUGGGACGGUGAAGAAAGAUCUAUCGGUUCGGGAGGGCCUCGCGGCCUAUCAGCUUGUUGGUGGGGUAACGGCCUACCAAGGCGUCGACGGGUAGCUGGUCUGAGAGGAUGAUCAGCCACACUGGGACUGAGACACGGCCCAGACUCCUACGGGAGGCAGCAGUAGGGAAUCUUGCGCAAUGGGCGAAAGCCUGACGCAGCAACGCCGCGUGGGGGAUGACGGCCCUCGGGUUGUAAACCCCUUUCAGCAGGAACGAAAAUGACGGUACCUGCAGAAGAAGGCCCGGCCAACUACGUGCCAGCAGCCGCGGUAACACGUAGGGGCCAAGCGUUGUCCGGAUUUAUUGGGCGUAAAGAGCUCGUAGGCGGUUCAGUCAGUCGGGUGUGAAAACUCUGGGCUCAACUCAGAGACGCCACCCGAUACUGCUGUGACUUGAGUCCGGUAGGGGAGCAGGGAAUUCCAGGUGUAGCGGUGAAAUGCGCAGAUAUCUGGAGGAACACCGGUGGCGAAGGCGCUGCUCUGGGCCGGUACUGACGCUGAGGAGCGAAAGCGUGGGUAGCAAACAGGAUUAGAUACCCUGGUAGUCCACGCCGUAAACGUUGGGCACUAGGUGUGG